GCGGGGCGGACAGCGCGACUCGGUCCGGGCGGCGGGCGGGCGUCCCGAAAUCGCGUCUCCCGAAGCUCGCCCGCCUCACGCGCCGCCACCGGAUGGCCUGGGCGCUUCGACGGCGUGAGGCUGCGUGGGGCCGGCCGCCGCCGCCAGGGGGCAACCGCCGCCCGCGCUUCUGGUCUGAGUUCCCCGGUCGGUCUCGGUCGGGGACGCACGGACCUAGCGCUCUCCCGCUAAAGGGGUGUCGUUAAGCGGAGUCCUGAGCCCACCGGGCAGGCUCUGCGACCAGCAGGGCAAAGGCUCGCCUGCAGUUCUCUGCACCCCCCCCCCCCCACCGGGCCCCGGCCUUGGUCUCCAGACCCCUCCCGUACAGAGAACUGCCGAGAACUGCUGCGCUGACCUCCAGGUUCCCAAUCUGACAGCUGCAGGUCACCCUGCCUUCUCUGCAGCUCAUUUGCCCGGACCCAUCUGCAUUACACUUGGGUUCUUCAAAGCCGUUUUUUCCAGCUCCUUCUUAAUCCUCUCCCUUUCCACCCAGUAUCUGCUCCCACUCCCUCCACAGCCCGAAAUCUGCUGCAGAUGAGCAGUUUCCGGAGGAGAUGCGAAUUUGGGUGGUUCUUUCUAGGCUGUGAAGUUCUUGGGGGAGGAGGGCAGGGAAUUCCCUUAGAGCAAAAUACUAGCAGCACUUUUAAGGGCAAAGAGCUCUUUUUAUUCCAUGGCCUUCGGGGAGCCUGGAGCCCGCUAGAGGCCCGGCUGGUGUGUGACGCUCAUUCACCAAGCUGGUCACUGACGAGACUGAGGAAGUCCUAGACGGAGCAAGAAUGGGCAGAGGCUGAAGGUAGAGGUUUUCUUUUUAUAUAUACAAGACACAUUAAUCCAUUAAAUUUGAGGACACAGUACAAAAAAAAAAAAAAAAAACAAAAAACACUUCAACUAAUUCAUCUGACAAUGCUGUUCAUAUUCAUGACGCCAUUUUUUUGUUGUUGUCUUGUUUCCUAAUAAUAAAGGAGGAGACUUAGG
This is a long non-coding RNA of Neofelis nebulosa (Clouded leopard), 1014 nucleotides long. RefSeq lists it as uncharacterized. NCBI's taxonomy places the organism in Eukaryota, Metazoa, Chordata, Mammalia, Carnivora, Felidae. The transcript is spliced from 2 exons. The record is from RefSeq and is a predicted model, not a curated record.